This 407-nucleotide ribosomal RNA is filed under the name uncultured bacterium. RNAcentral's name for it is "partial 16S ribosomal RNA". It matches the Rfam family "Bacterial small subunit ribosomal RNA", at positions 360 to 774 of the family's 1533-position model. The record is from RNAcentral.
AAUAUUGCGCAAUGGAGGAAACUCUGACGCAGCGACGCCGCGUGAGCGAUGAAGGUCUUCGGAUCGUAAAGCUCUGUCCUUGGGGAAGAAGGUCUUCGGACUUGACGGUACCCAUGGAGGAAGCCCCGGCCAACUCAGUGCCAGCAGCCGCGGUAAUACGUAGGUGGCAAGCGUUGUCCGGAUUUAUUGGGCGUAAAGCGCGCGCAGGCGGUCUUUUAAGUCUGAUGUGAAAUCUUACAGCUUAACUGUAAGCGGUCAUUGGAAACUGGGAGACUUGAGUGCAGAAGGGGAGAGUGGAAUUCCAUGUGUAGCGGUGAAAUGCGUAGAGAUAUGGAGGAACACCAGUGGCGAAGGCGACUCUCUGGUCUGCAACUGACGCUGAGGCGCGAAAGCGUGGGGAUCAAACA